Molecule: ribosomal RNA, 279 nt
Filed under: uncultured bacterium
Lineage: Bacteria
Description: partial 16S ribosomal RNA
Rfam family: Bacterial small subunit ribosomal RNA
Source: RNAcentral
UGCCAGCCGCCGCGGUAAUACGGAGGGUGCAAGCGUUAAUCGGAAUUACUGGGCGUAAAGCGCGCGUAGGCGGUUAAGCAAGUCAGAUGUGAAAGCCCCGGGCUCAACCUGGGAACUGCAUUUGAAACUGUUUAACUAGAGUGUGGUAGAGGAGAGUGGAAUUUCAGGUGUAGCGGUGAAAUGCGUAGAGAUCUGAAGGAACACCAGUGGCGAAGGCGACUUCCUGGGCCAAUACUGACGCUGAGGUGCGAAAGCGUGGGGAGCAAACAGGAUUAGAUA